Cyanistes caeruleus (blue tit) is the source of this 2043-nucleotide long non-coding RNA. NCBI's taxonomy places the organism in Eukaryota, Metazoa, Chordata, Aves, Passeriformes, Paridae. The record is from Ensembl.
AUGCGGCGGGAUCCCGAAAUCCACGGGAGGCGGAAAUCCCGGGAAUUCCGGCCCCCAAUUCUGGUGGGAUCUCGGAAUUCCAUCCCGGAAUUCCACAGCGUCCCAAACCCGGCCAGCGCCGCGGGGAUUCCCGAAAUUCCUGGGGAUCCCAAAAAUUCCUGGGGAUCCCAAAAAUCCAAAGGGAUCCCAGAAAUCCGGUGGGAUCGCAGCUCCUGCUCCGGGCGCUCCCGGGUUUUAUUCCUUGAUUCCCUCUGUGGGGGAAUUCCCCUGGAAUUCCAGGAGAAUCCAGCAGGAAUUCCAGGGGGAAUCCCACCGGAAUUCCAGGGGAUUCCCAUUGGAAUUUCAGGGGGAUCCUGCAGGAAUUCCAGAGGAAUCCCAGGAAAACCUUGUUGGAGUUCCAGGGGAAUCCUGCUGGAAUUCCGGGAGAAUCCCACGGGAAUUUUGAGGGAAUUCUGGCAAAAUUUUUGUGGGGAAUCCCCCUGGAAUUGUGGGAAAAUCCCACUGGAAUUUUGGGAGAAUCUCGGUGGAAUUCCAGAGAAACCUCACUGGAAUUCCGGAGGAAUCCCGCUGGAAUUUUUGCUGGAAUUCCGCGCGCUCCCGGCUCGGUUCUCCCGGAUUUUCCGGUUCCACUCCGGGAUUUAUUCCCAGAUUUUGGGAUUGGGAACGGAGCUCGGGAUUUUUACACGGGAGAAUGACCCGGAUCCCAGACGGGAACGAGUUGGAAUUCCCGACGGGAUCCGGAUCCGGAUUCCGGACGGGAACGGCGCGGUCCCGCGUGGGGACGCCGGAAUUCCAUGCGGGAAUGCCGAGAUCCAGCGGGAACGUGUCGGAAUUCCAUGUGGGAAUGUCGGAAUUCCGUGCCGGAAUGUCGGGAUUUCGUGCGGGAACCCCGGAAUUCCGCGUGGAAAUGUCGGGAUCCCGCGCGGGAAGGUCAAAAUUCCACGUGGGAAUGCGGGGAUCCAGCGGGAAUGUGUCGGAAUUCCACGCGGGAAUGUCGGGAUCCAAUGGGAAUAUCAAGAUCCCGCGUGGGAACACCGGAAUUCCAGGCAGGAAUGUCGGGAUCUUGUGUGGGAACGACGGAAUUCCACAUGGGAAGGUUGGAAUUCCACAUGGGAAGGUUGGAAUUCCGCCUGGGAAGGUUGGAAUUCCGCGUGGGAAGGUCGGAAUUCCACAUGGGAAGGUUGGAAUUCCGCGUGGGAAUGUUGGGAUCGGGCAGGAAUGUGUCGGAAUUCCAGGUGGGAAUGUUCAGAUCCCGUGUGGCAACAUCAGAAUUCCAUCUGGGAACGUCGGGAUCCUGUGGGAAGGUCAGAAUUCCAUCUGGGAAUGUCGGGAUCCAGCGUGGGAACAUCAGAAUUCCAUCUGGGAAUGUUGGGAUCCUGUGGGAACGUCAGAAUUCCAUCUGGGAAUGUUGGGAUCCGGCGUGGGAACGUCGGGAUCCCGUGCGAGAACGUCGAAAUUCCACGUGGGAAUGUGGGGAUCCGGCGGGAAUCUGUCGGAAUCCCGCGUGGGAACGUCGGGAUCCAGCGGCAACGCGUCGGAAUUCCACGUGGGAACGUCGGGAUCCAAUGGGAAUAUCAAGAUCCCGCGGGGGAACAUCGGAAUUCCACGUGGGAAUGUCGGGAUCUGGUGGGAAUGCUGGGAUCCCGUGUGGGAGUGUCGGGACUUUGUGGGAACAUCAGAAUUCCAUGCGGGAAUGUUGGGAUCCGGCGGGAACAUCAGGGUCUGGUGGGAAUGUGUCAGAAUUCCACGUGGGAAUGUCGGAUCCAAUGGGAAUAUCAAGAUCCUGCUUGGGAACAUCAGAAUUCCACGUGGGAACGUCGGGAUCCGGCGGGAAUGUCGGGAUCCGGCGGGAAUCUGUCGGGAUCCGGCGGGAAUCUGUCGGGAUCUGGCGGGAAUCUGUUGGGAUCCGGCGGGAAUGGCGGGAUCCGGCGGGAAUCUGUCGGGAUCCGGCGGGAAUCUGUCGGGAUCCGGCGGGACCCCGCGCUCUCCGGGCAGAGAAUCCCGAUAAAAUCUUGGCUCUGCCGCUUCCGGCCUGAUCCCUGA